GACACACAUACACUGACAGAAAUACUGACACCCACACACUGACAGAUAUACUGACAUCCACAUACACUGAGAAAUACUGACACACACACACAGGCACAUACACUGACACACACAGACUGAUAUACUGACACACACACACACAGACAUACUGGCACACAGACAGAUAUAUUGACACAUGCAUACACAUGCACUAACAGACAUACUGAUGCACUGACAGACAUACAGACACAUACACAUACUGACACACACAUAUAUACUGACACACAGACAGACAGACAUACUGACACACACACAGACAU
RNAcentral lists this long non-coding RNA (299 nucleotides) under Pelobates cultripes (western spadefoot toad). Lineage: Eukaryota; Metazoa; Chordata; Amphibia; Anura; Pelobatidae. The record is from RNAcentral.